This 317-nucleotide small nuclear RNA is filed under the name Saimiri boliviensis boliviensis (Bolivian squirrel monkey). Its description in RNAcentral is "7SK RNA (ENSSBOG00000005391.1)". It matches the Rfam family "7SK RNA". From Rfam's summary of the family: 7SK was discovered as an abundant small nuclear RNA in the mid-70s but a possible function has only recently been suggested. Two independent studies have found that 7SK RNA binds the CDK9/cyclin T complex (known as elongation factor P-TEFb). P-TEFb activates transcription by phosphorylating the C-terminal domain of RNA polymerase II. The record is from Rfam by way of RNAcentral. Lineage: Eukaryota; Metazoa; Chordata; Mammalia; Primates; Cebidae.
GGAUGUGACGGUGAUCUGGCUGCGACAUCUGUCAUCCCAUUGAUUGCCAGGGUUGAUUCGGCUGAUCUGGCUGGCUAGGCAGGUGUCCCCUUCCUCCCUCACCACUCCAUGUGUGUCCCUCCUGAAGCUGUGCACUCGGUCGAAGAGGAUGACCAUCCCUGAUAGAGGAGGACCAGUCUUCGGUCAAGGGUAUACGAGUAGCUGCGCUCCCCUGCUAGAACCUCCAAACACGCUCUCAAGAAAAGCAAAAGCAAAAGCAAAAAACGAACAAACAAAACGAAUCAGAAAGAUGGCCAGGUGCGGUGGCUCACCUCUGU